Molecule: ribosomal RNA, 2928 nt
Filed under: Salmonella enterica subsp. enterica serovar Dublin
Lineage: Bacteria; Pseudomonadati; Pseudomonadota; Gammaproteobacteria; Enterobacterales; Enterobacteriaceae
Description: bacterial LSU rRNA
Rfam family: Bacterial large subunit ribosomal RNA
Source: RNAcentral
GGGUUGUGAGGUUAAGCGACUAAGCGUACACGGUGGAUGCCCUGGCAGUCAGAGGCGAUGAAGGGCGUGCUAAUCUGCGAUAAGCGCCGGUAAGGUGAUAUGAACCGUUAUAACCGGCGAUACCCGAAUGGGGAAACCCAGUGUGAUUCGUCACACUAUCAUUAACUGAAUCCAUAGGUUAAUGAGGCGAACCGGGGGAACUGAAACAUCUAAGUACCCCGAGGAAAAGAAAUCAACCGAGAUUCCCCCAGUAGCGGCGAGCGAACGGGGAGGAGCCCAGAGCCUGAAUCAGCAUGUGUGUUAGUGGAAGCGUCUGGAAAGGCGCGCGAUACAGGGUGACAGCCCCGUACACAAAAGCGCAUGUGCUGUGAGCUCGAUGAGUAGGGCGGGACACGUGGUAUCCUGUCUGAAUAUGGGGGGACCAUCCUCCAAGGCUAAAUACUCCUGACUGACCGAUAGUGAACCAGUACCGUGAGGGAAAGGCGAAAAGAACCCCGGCGAGGGGAGUGAAAAAGAACCUGAAAUCGUGUACGUACAAGCAGUGGGAGCACAGGUUUACCUGUGUGACUGCGUACCUUUUGUAUAAUGGGUCAGCGACUUAUAUUCUGUAGCAAGGUUAACCGAAUAGGGGAGCCGGAGGGAAACCGAGUCUUAAUUGGGCGUUAAGUUGCAGGGUAUAGACCCGAAACCCGGUGAUCUAGCCAUGGGCAGGUUGAAGGUUGGGUAACACUAACUGGAGGACCGAACCGACUAAUGUUGAAAAAUUAGCGGAUGACCUGUGGCUGGGGGUGAAAGGCCAAUCAAACCGGGAGAUAGCUGGUUCUCCCCGAAAGCUAUUUAGGUAGCGCCUCGUGAAUUCAUCUCCGGGGGUAGAGCACUGUUUCGGCUAGGGGGCCAUCCCGGCUUACCAACCCGAUGCAAACUGCGAAUACCGGAGAAUGUUAUCACGGGAGACACACGGCGGGUGCUAACGUCCGUCGUGAAGAGGGAAACAACCCAGACCGCCAGCUAAGGUCCCAAAGUCAUGGUUAAGUGGGAAACGAUGUGGGAAGGCCCAGACAGCCAGGAUGUUGGCUUAGAAGCAGCCAUCAUUUAAAGAAAGCGUAAUAGCUCACUGGUCGAGUCGGCCUGCGCGGAAGAUGUAACGGGGCUAAACCAUGCACCGAAGCUGCGGCAGCGACGCUUAUGCGUUGUUGGGUAGGGGAGCGUUCUGUAAGCCUGUGAAGGUGGCCUGUGAGGGUUGCUGGAGGUAUCAGAAGUGCGAAUGCUGACAUAAGUAACGAUAAAGCGGGUGAAAAGCCCGCUCGCCGGAAGACCAAGGGUUCCUGUCCAACGUUAAUCGGGGCAGGGUGAGUCGACCCCUAAGGCGAGGCCGAAAGGCGUAGUCGAUGGGAAACGGGUUAAUAUUCCCGUACUUGGUGUUACUGCGAAGGGGGACGGAGAAGGCUAUGUUGGCCGGGCGACGGUUGCCCCGGUUUAAGCGUGUAGGUGUGUGUUCCAGGUAAAUCCGGUUCACUUUAACACUGAGGCGUGAUGACGAGGCACUACGGUGCUGAAGUAACAAAUGCCCUGCUUCCAGGAAAAGCCUCUAAGCAUCAGGUAACAUCAAAUCGUACCCCAAACCGACACAGGUGGUCAGGUAGAGAAUACCAAGGCGCUUGAGAGAACUCGGGUGAAGGAACUAGGCAAAAUGGUGCCGUAACUUCGGGAGAAGGCACGCUGACACGUAGGUGAAGUGAUUUACUCACGGAGCUGAAGUCAGUCGAAGAUACCAGCUGGCUGCAACUGUUUAUUAAAAACACAGCACUGUGCAAACACGAAAGUGGACGUAUACGGUGUGACGCCUGCCCGGUGCCGGAAGGUUAAUUGAUGGGGUCAGCGCAAGCGAAGCUCCUGAUCGAAGCCCCGGUAAACGGCGGCCGUAACUAUAACGGUCCUAAGGUAGCGAAAUUCCUUGUCGGGUAAGUUCCGACCUGCACGAAUGGCGUAAUGAUGGCCAGGCUGUCUCCACCCGAGACUCAGUGAAAUUGAACUCGCUGUGAAGAUGCAGUGUACCCGCGGCAAGACGGAAAGACCCCGUGAACCUUUACUAUAGCUUGACACUGAACAUUGAGCCUUGAUGUGUAGGAUAGGUGGGAGGCUUUGAAGUGUGGACGCCAGUCUGCAUGGAGCCGACCUUGAAAUACCACCCUUUAAUGUUUGAUGUUCUAACGUGGACCCGUUACCCGGGUUGCGGACAGUGUCUGGUGGGUAGUUUGACUGGGGCGGUCUCCUCCUAAAGAGUAACGGAGGAGCACGAAGGUUGGCUAAUCCUGGUCGGACAUCAGGAGGUUAGUGCAAUGGCAUAAGCCAGCUUGACUGCGAGCGUGACGGCGCGAGCAGGUGCGAAAGCAGGUCAUAGUGAUCCGGUGGUUCUGAAUGGAAGGGCCAUCGCUCAACGGAUAAAAGGUACUCCGGGGAUAACAGGCUGAUACCGCCCAAGAGUUCAUAUCGACGGCGGUGUUUGGCACCUCGAUGUCGGCUCAUCACAUCCUGGGGCUGAAGUAGGUCCCAAGGGUAUGGCUGUUCGCCAUUUAAAGUGGUACGCGAGCUGGGUUUAGAACGUCGUGAGACAGUUCGGUCCCUAUCUGCCGUGGGCGCUGGAGAACUGAGGGGGGCUGCUCCUAGUACGAGAGGACCGGAGUGGACGCAUCACUGGUGUUCGGGUUGUCAUGCCAAUGGCACUGCCCGGUAGCUAAAUGCGGAAGAGAUAAGUGCUGAAAGCAUCUAAGCACGAAACUUGCCCCGAGAUGAGUUCUCCCUGAGACUUAAAGUCUCCUGAAGGAACGUUGAAGACGACGACGUUGAUAGGCCGGGUGUGUAAGCGCAGCGAUGCGUUGAGCUAACCGGUACUAAUGAACCGUGAGGCUUAACCCUACAACGCCGAAG